UGGGGAAUAUUGGACAAUGGGGGGAACCCUGAUCCAGCCAUGCCGCGUGUGUGAAGAAGGCCUUAUGGUUGUAAAGCACUUUAAGUUGGGAGGAAGGGCAGUAAGCGAAUACCUUGCUGUUUUGACGUUACCGACAGAAUAAGCACCGGCUAACUCUGUGCCAGCAGCCGCGGUAAUACAGAGGGUGCAAGCGUUAAUCGGAAUUACUGGGCGUAAAGCGUGCGUAGGCGGCUAAUUGAGUCGGAUGUGAAAUCCCCGAGCUUAACUUGGGAAUUGCAUUCGAUACUGGUUAGCUAGAGUGUGGGAGAGGAUGGUAGAAUUCCAGGUGUAGCGGUGAAAUGCGUAGAGAUCUGGAGGAAUACCGAUGGCGAAGGCAGCCAUCUGGCCUAACACUGACGCUGAGGUGCGAAAGCGUGGGGAGCAAACAGG
RNAcentral lists this ribosomal RNA (429 nucleotides) under Pseudomonadota bacterium. RNAcentral describes it as "Proteobacteria bacterium partial 16S ribosomal RNA". It matches the Rfam family "Bacterial small subunit ribosomal RNA", at positions 355 to 776 of the family's 1533-position model. The record is from RNAcentral. Lineage: Bacteria; Pseudomonadati; Pseudomonadota.